This 465-nucleotide ribosomal RNA is filed under the name Vreelandella stevensii. Its description in RNAcentral is "partial 16S ribosomal RNA". It matches the Rfam family "Bacterial small subunit ribosomal RNA", at positions 338 to 795 of the family's 1533-position model. Lineage: Bacteria; Pseudomonadati; Pseudomonadota; Gammaproteobacteria; Oceanospirillales; Halomonadaceae. The record is from RNAcentral.
CCCACGGGGGGCAGCAGUGGGGAAUAUUGGACAAUGGGCGAAAGCCUGAUCCAGCCAUGCCGCGUGUGUGAAGAAGGCCUUCGGGUUGUAAAGCACUUUCAGCGGGGAAGAAAGCCUUGGGGCUAAUACCCUCGAGGAAGGACAUCACCCACAGAAGAAGCACCGGCUAACUCCGUGCCAGCAGCCGCGGUAAUACGGAGGGUGCGAGCGUUAAUCGGAAUUACUGGGCGUAAAGCGCGCGUAGGCGGUCUGAUAAGCCGGUUGUGAAAGCCCCGGGCUCAACCUGGGAACGGCAUCCGGAACUGUCAGGCUAGAGUGCAGGAGAGGAAGGUAGAAUUCCCGGUGUAGCGGUGAAAUGCGUAGAGAUCGGGAGGAAUACCAGUGGCGAAGGCGGCCUUCUGGACUGACACUGACGCUGAGGUGCGAAAGCGUGGGUAGCAAACAGGAUUAGAUACCCUUGUAGUC